RNAcentral lists this long non-coding RNA (520 nucleotides) under Homo sapiens (human). Its description in RNAcentral is "non-protein coding lnc-SWAP70-4:1". Lineage: Eukaryota; Metazoa; Chordata; Mammalia; Primates; Hominidae. The record is from RNAcentral.
AUGUUUGUUGUCCCUGUUUUCUCAGGCAUUGUCAACCUCUCAUCUGAACAGGAUUCUGCUUAUCAACAUUUAAACAUGCUUGAAUCUCACUUACCUUAAAAAACAACAAAAGCCCCUUUCUUUGACUCCAUGUCUUACUGCAGCUACUGCCCCACCCUCCUCUCAACCAUGGUCAAACAUCUCCAGAGCACUGUCUCUUUCCUCACACCUCACAUGCCUCCUGUCCAUGACAGCCUGGCCUCUACCUGCCUCACUUCACCGAAACAGCACUCCCUAAAAUCACUGGUGAGGUGACCUUCAGGACACUAAAUCCAAAGUGCAUUUUUCAUUCUACUCUUCUUUUAGAUUUUCCAGCAGCAUCCAAACAUUCUCUUGCUUCUGGAAACACUCUUCUCCAUUCAUUGCAAGGCACAACAAUGCUCUUUCUCUGUUCACCCUCUAUUCCAGGUUUAUCCUCCUUUACCUGGCCAUUGAAUAUUAGUGUCCUUAAGACACAGGCUGGGCUCUUUUCUUACUUAAU